CCUACGGGUGGCAGCAGUGGGGGAUAUUGCACAAUGGGGGAAACCCUGAUGCAGCGACGCCGCGUGUGUGAAGACGGUCCUCUGGAUUGUAAACCACUGUCCCCAGGGACGACGAUGACGGUACCUGGGGAGGAAGCUCCGGCAAACUACGUGCCAGCAGCAGCGGAAAUACGUGGGGAGCGAGCGUUGUCAGGAAUUACUGGGGGAAAAGGGAGCGUAGGCGGGACUGCAAGUUGGGGGUAAAAUCUACCGGCUCAACCGGUAGCCGCACUCAAAACUGCAGUUCUUGAGUGAAGUAGAGGCAGGCGGAAUUCCAAGUGUAGCGGUGAAAUGCGUAGAUAUUAGGAGGAACACCAGUGGCGAAGGCGGCCUGCUGGGCUUUUACUGACGCUGAGGCUCGAAAGUGUGGGGAGCAAACAGGAUUAGAUACCCCAGUAGUC
This 440-nucleotide ribosomal RNA is filed under the name uncultured bacterium. RNAcentral describes it as "partial 16S ribosomal RNA". It matches the Rfam family "Bacterial small subunit ribosomal RNA", at positions 338 to 795 of the family's 1533-position model. The record is from RNAcentral.